This 207-nucleotide ribosomal RNA is filed under the name uncultured bacterium. RNAcentral describes it as "partial 16S ribosomal RNA". It matches the Rfam family "Bacterial small subunit ribosomal RNA", at positions 568 to 774 of the family's 1533-position model. The record is from RNAcentral.
UGCGUAGGCGGUUGACUAAGUCUGGUGUAAAAUCCCACAGCUUAACUGUGGAGGGUCAUUGGAAACUGGUUAACUAGAGUACGGUAGAGGUAAGCGGAAUUCCAAGUGGAGCGGUAAAAUGCGUAGAUAUUUGGAGGAACACCGGUGGCGAAGGCGACUUACUGGGCCGGAACUGACGCUGAUGCACGAAAGCGUGGGGAGCAAACA